Molecule: unclassified non-coding RNA, 419 nt
Filed under: Hevea brasiliensis (rubber tree)
Lineage: Eukaryota; Viridiplantae; Streptophyta; Magnoliopsida; Malpighiales; Euphorbiaceae
Source: RNAcentral
GAUCCAAGGCCACCUUCUCAAGGUGAUAAUUGUGUUGAUAGUUUUGAAUCAAUGAGAGAAAAAUAUCGAAGUUCCAUUAUAGAUUAUAUCUUCUGUUUGCGAAUUACGAUUUGUCUAUGCACGUGAUAAGUAUCGAAUCAUGGAUCUGGGCCACGAAUUGGGGGGUGGGCCAGCAGAAGGAAAGUGUAGGCAGUCAGCAAUUAGAACCAUCAGAUUUGGGGGUACAGGGCACUGGGUUUUGUUGAUGGAACCCAUUCUGGAAUUGGCCAUGAUCUUAAUGCGCUAUGUUAUUCACAAAUCACAUCAGCCCCUUUUAUGCAGCUGCAUGCCGUCCACAAUCACAUUUCACACUCACAGAUCAUCCUGUAGAGAGAAGAGAUAGCGCCGCGUUUUUUAUUCAUGAAAAUGGCAUAUGAUCU